Molecule: transfer RNA, 77 nt
Filed under: Leptolyngbya sp.
Lineage: Bacteria; Bacillati; Cyanobacteriota; Cyanophyceae; Leptolyngbyales; Leptolyngbyaceae
Also listed under: 4 other names
Description: tRNA-Arg
Rfam family: tRNA
About the family: Transfer RNA (tRNA) molecules are approximately 80 nucleotides in length. Their secondary structure includes four short double-helical elements and three loops (D, anti-codon, and T loops).
Source: RNAcentral
GGGCGUGUCGCCUAAGGGAUAAGGGCAUCGGUCUUCUAAACCGACUCGUAUAGGUUCGACUCCUAUCACGCCUGCCA